GUGAACCGGGAUGAGCUCAAAUUUGAAAUCUGGCGUCUUUCAGGCGUCCGAGUUGUAAUCUAUAGAGGCGUUUUCCGCGCCGGACCGCGUCCAAGUCUCUUGGAAUAGAGUAUCAAAGAGGGUGACAAUCCCGUACUUGACGCGACAACCGGUGCUCUGUGAUACGUUCUCAAUGAGUCGAGUUGUUUGGGAAUGCAGCUCUAAAUGGGUGGUAAAUUCCAUCUAAGGCUAAAUAUUGGCGAGAGACCGAUAGCGAACAAGUACCGUGAGGGAAAGAUGAAAAGCACUUUGGAAAGAGAGUUAAACAGCACGUGAAAUUGUUAAAAGGGAAACGAUUGAAGUCAGUCGUGUGGGAAGUAUUCAGCCGUCUCUGGCGGUGUAUUUGCUUCUCACGGGUCAACAUCAGUUUGAUCCGGUAGAAAAAGGCGGGAAGAAGGUGGCACCCUCGGGUGUGUUAUAGCUUCCUGUCAUAUGUGCCGGACCAGACUGAGGAACGCAGCUUGCAGCAAUGCCGGGGUCGCCCACGUACAAGCUUAGGA
This 539-nucleotide ribosomal RNA is filed under the name Vishniacozyma carnescens. RNAcentral describes it as "partial large subunit ribosomal RNA". It matches the Rfam family "Eukaryotic large subunit ribosomal RNA", at positions 93 to 618 of the family's 3401-position model. The record is from RNAcentral. Lineage: Eukaryota; Fungi; Basidiomycota; Tremellomycetes; Tremellales; Bulleribasidiaceae.